Molecule: long non-coding RNA, 995 nt
Filed under: Junco hyemalis (dark-eyed junco)
Lineage: Eukaryota; Metazoa; Chordata; Aves; Passeriformes; Passerellidae
Description: lncRNA (ENSJHYG00000008581.1)
Source: RNAcentral
CUGCUAGUUGAUUCACUUACUCACCCACUAACAUUGAGCUCCUUUUCACUGUCUGUGGGCAAGGGGAAAAAAAAGGGGGGGGAAGGAAGAAAAAAGAAAGCAGGGGAAGAAGGAAGAAAGGAGGGGAAUAAACAAAAUUAUAUAUUUAAAAAUACCCGAGUAGAGCUGCAAAUCAGUUGGGAAAGAGGAUUUUGCCUGCCUUCUUCCUUAUUAUUUUGCUGCUGCAAGGCUGCUUUGCAAUCCGUAGGAAAUACUGUUGUGCUGAGGAAGAAAACAGCUCUCUCCUCCCCCUUUUUUUUUCCCCACCCUCCCCUCCUUUCUUCUUGCCUGAUUCAGAAGCUCCAGGAAUGUGCUAAUUGGCGGCGGCCUCUUCAGAAAGGUAAGGGGUAAUUGUUAUCUGCUUUUCAAGGUGUCUUGCCUGCUCUGCUCCUUCUGGAAGGACAGGUGAUGGCAGAAGUUUGUCUUCAUGGAGUUUAGCCAAACUUCUGGUUCAUGUGGGUUGCCCUUCUAGCGCUGGAAUGCAAACAGGAGCUUUGUGCGCUUCUUGCUCUACUACUAAGUGUAGGAUACUGUCCCUUGAGAAAAUCUAGAAGAUGAGAUAUAUUUUAAAUACUUGUAGAGGAAAAAAAGUAAAACUGUUGUAUUGCAGACUGAUUAACUAAAUCUUUGCCUGGAUAUCAGCUUGGAUGGAAAGACAGAGUUAGGUCUGGAGAAGGCAAGUUGAAGAAUCUCAAAGUUUCUUUUGUUAUUAUCACAAAUGUACUUCUGAUUGGGCAAAUACGGAUUGGUUUAGUUGUUGUUCUGGUUAGUUUUUUAAACCUGAUGUCUUCUCUGGUGUCUGUCAUGGUUUUGUGGCUGGUUGUAUCCCUGACAGAUAAGACAGGAACUAUCUGGAAGCCCAACUCUAGUUCUGAAUGGUGAAACGCAUGGCAAGUCUUUCACUAUCUGGACUUCUUUCAGUUUUGGACAGAAGUGCAAAAUGUGGUGUGUGAGAG